This 253-nucleotide ribosomal RNA is filed under the name uncultured bacterium. RNAcentral describes it as "partial 16S ribosomal RNA". It matches the Rfam family "Bacterial small subunit ribosomal RNA", at positions 524 to 776 of the family's 1533-position model. The record is from RNAcentral.
UACGUAGGGUCCGAGCGUUGUCCGGAAUUAUUGGGCGUAAAGGGCUCGUAGGCGGUUUGUCGCGUCGGGAGUGAAAACACCGGGCUUAACUCGGUGCUUGCUUUCGAUACGGGCAGACUAGAGGUAUGCAGGGGAGAAUGGAAUUCCUGGUGUAGCGGUGAAAUGCGCAGAUAUCAGGAGGAACACCGGUGGCGAAGGCGGUUCUCUGGGCAUUACCUGACGCUGAGGAGCGAAAGUGUGGGGAGCGAACAGG